UACGUAGGGGGCAAGCGUUGUCCGGAUUUAUUGGGCGUAAAGAGCGUGUAGGCGGCUCGGUAGGUCCGCUGUGAAAACUCGAGGCUCAACCUCGAGAUGUCGGCGGAAACCACUUGGCUAGAGUCCGGAAGAGGAGAGUGGAAUUCCCGGUGUAGCGGUGAAAUGCGCAGAUAUCGGGAAGAACACCUAUGGCGAAGGCAGCUCUCUGGGACGGUACUGACGCUGAGACGCGAAAGCGUGGGGAGCGAACAGG
Molecule: ribosomal RNA, 253 nt
Filed under: uncultured bacterium
Lineage: Bacteria
Description: partial 16S ribosomal RNA
Rfam family: Bacterial small subunit ribosomal RNA
Source: RNAcentral